CAACAGGGAUUGCCCUAGUAACGGCGAGUGAAGCGGCAACAGCUCAAAUUUGAAAUCUGGCUCUCGGGCCCGAGUUGUAAUUUGUAGAGGAUGCUUUUGGUGAGGUGCCUUCCGAGUUCCCUGGAACGGGACGCCAUAGAGGGUGAGAGCCCCGUCUGGUUGGACACCGAUCCUCUGUAAAGCUCCUUCGACGAGUCGAGUAGUUUGGGAAUGCUGCUCUAAAUGGGAGGUAUAUGUCUUCUAAAGCUAAAUACCGGCCAGAGACCGAUAGCGCACAAGUAGAGUGAUCGAAAGAUGAAAAGAACUUUGAAAAGAGAGUUAAAAAGUACGUGAAAUUGUUGAAAGGGAAGCGCUUGUGACCAGACUUGGGCUUGGUUGAUCAUCCAGGGUUCUCCCUGGUGCACUCUUCCGGCCCAGGCCAGCAUCAGUUCGCCCUGGGGGAAAAAGGCUUCGGGAAUGUGGCUCUCUCCGGGGAGUGUUAU
Molecule: ribosomal RNA, 482 nt
Filed under: Fusarium solani
Lineage: Eukaryota; Fungi; Ascomycota; Sordariomycetes; Hypocreales; Nectriaceae
Description: eukaryotic LSU rRNA
Rfam family: Eukaryotic large subunit ribosomal RNA
Source: RNAcentral